RNAcentral lists this long non-coding RNA (1358 nucleotides) under Olea europaea subsp. europaea. The record is from RNAcentral. Lineage: Eukaryota; Viridiplantae; Streptophyta; Magnoliopsida; Lamiales; Oleaceae.
CUUAAUUAUUUGACAAUAUUGUUUGACUUUUCUACUACAAAGCACAUUACACAUUAUCAAGUUUAGUUCAAAAAUUUUGAUUUCAUAUGUUUCUUCAGGCUUGCUUCGCCUUUUAUCAUAAUAUUAGUCAAAAUUUUAUAAGAAUACUUAAAUAUUUAAAUUAGAAUAUGAUCUUAUAAUAAUGAAUAAAUGUUUCAAUAAUCACCGAACUUACUCAUUGAACUUCAAAUUGCUUCCAAAUGGUCACUGAACUUUCAGCUGUUGCACCACAUCCAUCACUCACCAAAUUUCGUUACCAUCGAAGUUGACGUGGUGGAUAGAAAACACAUGUGAAGGGCAGUGGCCGCUUAAAAGUUAACAAAUCUAAUUUCUAAUCCAAAUAACCUAAAAAAUGCACCUACACCACAUGACUUUGAAUACCUAAAAAAUAUUUUUCACCCAAUCAAAUUACCAUAUCAUCACCUCCAAUGCCUAAAUUGAGAUUGCUCAUAUGAGUCUCAGCCAAAAACUAUCUGAACUUGCAGCCAACCUUGUCGUUCGUUGAAUCACCAAAUACUAAAUCUUCGAAGGUGGAUAUUCCAAUUCAUUCACUUCAAACUCCUUCAGCUUGAGAUGUAUUCCCUGUCUCAUCUACAUGUCCUAAAUCAUUUGUAUUGAGACUAACUUCAAUCCAUUCCCUUACAUAACGGUCAUCCAAUAUGUCAUCUUCUAAGUUAUUCUUAGAUGCAAUAAAGUUUGGGUCGUCAUUAUCAUCUGUUACAACAUGCUCGAAUAUCAGAUCAUCAUCAUCAUUUGAAUUUAACUCCCUCUCAAAAUCAUUGAAGUCCGGGUCUUGCUCAUCAUCCCGUCAAAAUCAACUUCAAUCUCUUCAGUCACAUUCUCAUCAUAGAGAGCAUCGUCUUCUUCAAAAUCCAACUCAUUCAUAGAGGUAAUAAAGUCCGGAUAUUUCUCAUUCCCGGAAUUGCAUGCACAUUUAAAAUAAAACCGAGUAAUCAUAAUCGAGUAACAUCGUUUGAACAUUUCAAGUUUAACACUAACAAAAUAAAUAUAUAAAAUCAAUAAAAUUGGUGUGGGGCAUGCACAAAAAGACUACAAAACGAAAAUAUUAUUUAUGUAAAAAAGUAUUUCCUCAUAGGGACAAAUUAUUUACGAGAAUGCAUAAAUGUGUAUAAAUGUCAAAAAAUGUACCUCUAUGAGGUCCCUCCAUUUGAGCGGUGUGAAUUUUUCAAUGAAAGUGGUCCUUAUUUCACGAAUUUGGUUGGGCCGUGUGUAGGGUAGAAGAUGAAGCAAACAGGUUUACCAAAUUUUUAGGAGCAAUCGCAAUUUAGGGAUUUGAGGUGAUAAUUUGGGGAUUUUUA